This 19200-nucleotide long non-coding RNA is filed under the name Nicotiana benthamiana. RNAcentral's name for it is "long non-coding RNA (NBEN_LNC031952)". The record is from RNAcentral. Lineage: Eukaryota; Viridiplantae; Streptophyta; Magnoliopsida; Solanales; Solanaceae.
UCCAGUCAUCUUCUCCAACAACGAACCCUAAUCCCGCCGCCACCAAACCCCACCGCCCUAGGGUGGCGCCGACGCCUCCAAUCACCACCAAAAUUACACCCUUCGUCUUUCUCACUCUCCUCUUCCAAUCUAUGGCAAGGAUUUCUUUCGAAUCAAACCCUAGCUGUUCGAAUAUGUGGUCGAAAGUUUUUCCCAAUACACAAAAGUGUCCAGACAAGCUGAGAUUGAUGCCAGGCAGUCUCGUCGUCCUCUUAUUCAUAAAUCUAGGGUCAGUUUCCGUCAAAUAUCUCCAGGCCAUCCCCAAAUUUAAAUCUAGGGUUCAAGCUUUUCUGCCAUUUGAGAGCUUCAUUUGCGAAUGAUUUUGCUUAAUAUAAUGAAUUUAUUUCGACCGAGGUAAACCCCUAAUAUUAGUCAAAGUUCGUUCCCUGAAAUCCUAUGUGCAUGGAUUUGUUUUAGUAAGUGACCUUCUCACUUCUUCCUAGUUUUUUAGUUCGACUCAUGUUUUAUCUCGUAAUUAAUUGUAGUUUUAGUUUCUGAAUAAGUUUAAUUAGUAAUUCGCUUGCAAGUUUCUGACAAAUUCAGAUUAUUAGUCAUUCAUUGGGAAAUUCAUGCUUAUGAUUAAUUGUUAGCUCAUGUUUCUAAACUUGUUUGAUUUUCGUCCUGUUUUAGUUUAGUCAAUCGUUAGUAAAUUGGUUGUGUUAAUUCAGUUCUAGUGCAAGUAAAUAGUGUCAGUCAAAUGUUUUUGUGAAAAUUGUUGCUUCUUGAUUAUCAUGAUAUUUUGAUUCUGUGAGUUGUUGGGAAUUUCAGCUGUAGAUUUCAUUUUUGAUUAAUUAGUUUAAUUAGCCAUUCAAAUAGAAGGCAUUAUGUAGAGAUUUGGGAUUUAUUUCUGGGUAGCUGAUUGACCUUUGGUUGAGCAGUAAUUUUAGGAGGUAUAAGGGGUAAUUUGGGCAUGGGAAAAGGGUAUUUUAUUUAGGAAUAGUAUUUUUAAAAUAGGGAAGUGGUAGUAUAGGAAUUGUAAUGGGAAUAGGACCUUCUAGAAUAGACUUUAGUAUAGUAUUUUGCAAAGAAGAGGAACUUACUUGAGUAAAAAGUCAGAAAUGAGAGGAUUAAAAUGAAAAUAAGGAGGGACUAAUAUUGCAAAUUAAAAAUAUGAGGGUCGCCUCAUUUGUGCCUAUAAACGAGCAUUUCCUUUACUUCAUUCACAAGUUGGGCAGCCUAAAAAUCCCCCACAAAUCCCUUUUCAAGUUUCAGACUUGAGAAUCAAAAUCUGAAAAGCCAACUUCAUUUUUAGCUCUUAGUUAUAUCAAAAAUCCAAAAACAAAACAAAAUGUAGUGAAAACUUCAAAUAAAAAUACUCUUACAUUGCAUUUUCUUGUUCAAUUUUGAAUUCAGGGAUUGGUUUUCAUCUCAUCUAGUUCAAUAUUCAUCAGCUCAGGUUUCUGGGAGAUUAGUGAUUGGUUUUCAAGAGGUUUUUGGCUUAUCUGAUUCAGUUCUGAGUAGAUCUGAUGGCUACUGUGUGAAUUUUAUCUUCUAGUUAUUGGUCUACAUUGUUUUUUGGUUUCUGAUCAUUCAAAGUUUUGGAGGUGUUAUUGAAUGAUUUUGAGGGAAUUUGGGGUUCAAGAAGGACUGUUUUAGGCUGUUUUUAUCAUCUAGGAAUUUCAAAAAUGGUUCUAGUCCAGUUUUGAGUUGGUCUGGGUGGUUUCAAAUAGCUUUGGUCUGAUAUCGGGUUCAUUCGGGGAUCAUUGGGAAUUUGUUUGAGUUUGUACGAUUGUGUACUGAAUUGGUCUAUUGCUAUUACUCUAUUUCGGAACAUUUCUGAGUUGUGAAACAUUGCUGGGCUGCUUGUAGUCAUUUGGUUAUUGCUGCUGACCUUAUUUCUCCUUUGUUCACUCUUCCAGGUACAUAUUUCGAGCCCCGUUGAUGUAUCAGUGCUGUUGAAAACAUGAAUAAAUAGAAGUUAUGCUCCUGAUGAUGUUGUCUAGUUUUUUUUCCAGCAUUGUUAAUUAUUACUGGUUUUGCAUUUUUUUAAUCCGAAUUGUAUAAGCAUGAACAUAUAUUGGACUGAUUGAAUACAUCUUGUGAAUGGCUCGAGUCUAGUGUUAAGUAGUUUAACAAAUUCAUGUUAUGUUUGGUUCCUAAUCCUGUAGAUGUUAAUGCUAGGAUGAUUUAGCUAGUAAUUGAAAGUUAAAACAUAUCCAGACAUUGUUGAUUCAAAACUUUUCAAAUCGAAUAAGGAGCAGUCAACUUGUAGGCAAUAUGAUUUCCAUCUAAGUUUCUAGCCCGUGUUCGCUCAUUAAAUUGAUUAGUAGUUGUUUUAGUUAUGAAUUGUUUAGCGGCAUUUGAAUUAAUUUGAAAUAAGAGAAGUCUAAUUAGUCAUGUUUGAUUAAUGGGCUUCAAAGGAUAAAGUUGCUAAGCCUAAUAUCUGUAGUUCGUGAGUUUGGUUGAAAAAUAAGCUUUGGUGCAGUCAACUCAGGGAAUCGACCCCAAGACCUCCUGCUUGAGGUUUGUUGGGUUUAAGCUGAGAAACCGCAUGUCUGUCCAGUUUGGGCCUCAAUCUACGCCCAUAUGUCCUCUCAGCUUGGUCUUUUGGGCCUGCCAUUUGGGCCAAUCUGAAAUUCCAUUCAAGGUUUAAAUAGCAUGAACUUUGGUUUUGAGUUAGGUAACGGGUUUUAAAUUAAAGGUUCAUCAUUUUAUUUGGACCCGGACUUGAACUUGAAGCCCAAGAUUUAAUAAUAAUUUAAUUAGGACUUUCUUCUUUUCUUUUAGAGACAAAAAUCAAAAAAUAGAAAAAUCAUAGUCGAUUUUUUAGGCUUGCCUUUUAAAAUGAAAUGAGAUGAGGCUCGCCCAAUAAAAGUGCCAAAAUGCGGGGCCCUCAAAAAAGGUUUUAAAAAAUAUUUAGAUAAUCGGAAGGGCUAUUUAGCAAAUUUCAUGACCCUCCCAAAAAAUUACAACGCGUUAGACCCCAUUAAGCGUGAUUUAAAUAAUUUUACCUUCCUAAAUUUGGGUGGGAAUUUAUGCGGCCCAAAUCCAAAUCCUAAAAUGUUAAAUAGAGUGUGUCUAGGAUUGCGGGUUCAGUUGAUGCGGCGCAAUCCGAAAACACAUUUUAAACGACGUUCACUUUCUUAAAGAAAUAAAUAUCAAAAAAGCGCUAAAAAGUAAAAAUUGGUAAUAGGUUCUUCAUGUAAUUAAAUCAGUUAAAAGCUAAAUGCAACAAUGAAGCGACCGUGCUAGAACCACGGAACUCGAAAAUGCCUCACACCUUCUCCCGGGUUAACAGAAUUCCUUAUCCGGAUUUCUGGUUCACAGACUGUAACCGAGUAUUUUCCUCGGUUUCGGAUUCAACCGGUGACUUUGGACACCAUUAAUCUCCCAAGUGGCGACUCUUUAUAAAUGAUAAUAAAUCCCGUUCCGAUAGUCCUUUAAGUGAGAAAACUGCUUUACGCCCCUUUGCGGGGGUGUACAACAAAAAAGGAGGCGUGACAGUUAUGAUGACUCUGUUGGGGACAAGAACCCAGAAUCUCUGGUUCAGGGUUCAGAAUUCGAGGUUAGAAUAAUUGUUGUGUUUAGUUUUAUCUGAUUUUGCUACAUGUUAUGUGCUUAAUGUGCUAAUUGAUUGCUUUUACCGCUUUGAUAUUACGUGAACUAUAUAUAAACUGUGCCAAACCGAAUCUCCUCUCUGAGUCUUCUGAAUUGGGAAGAAGGGUGUACGGUGUACAAAUUCUUCUCUGUCUAGUAUCAAAAUCCCAAUUUAGAACGAGGUUCGGAUAAGUCGCAAAGCCGGUGAAGCUUCUGUAUUCCCGGAUUGCCACCUCCCCCUCGGCUCGAGCCGUCCGCUCAGGUAAGCUAGGUAUAGAACAAACACCCAGGUUUUGACCCUAGAAUAACUUAACCUCAUGCCGGAUCCGUAGUAGGAACGCUUAUCUGCAUCAUGUGCAUUUUGACUUAGGGGACUCAACACAUGGGUUGGGUCCGUCUAGGGCUAGCAACCUGAAAUGAAAAGACCAUCCUGAUGCAUCCUACGUGCUUUUCUGUGCAUUUAUUUGCUCGAUCCUGCAUGUGACCUUCUUUCUAAAUCUCGGGAAGGUUAGAAAAUGAGAAAGGGGGAAAAUAAUGAUUCAGAAAGUUAGCUGAUAAGUUCAGAAAAACCAUUGCCCAAGUAUUGUCGGAGUUCUACCGAAAUUUUGAAGAAAAUAUAAAAAAGAAAAAUAUCUUAUUUUUUAAAUAGUUGUUUCAGAGUCCGUCAUUAUUUUUUAGUUUGUCUUGUUUGGGAAAAUGGAAAAUGAAAAAUAGUUUGUUUUGCCAUAAAAAUGGAAAAACAAAAGGGUUUUUGAUUUUGCUUUCUUGCUUCAAAAUAGUUUAUUUGCCAAUGAAAAUAGGGUAUUUUGUUAAAGAAAAAGAGUCUUUAUUUUUAAUUCGAAAAAUGGUGGUGGAAAAAAGGGUCUUUAUUUUUAAUUUGGAAAAUAGGUUGUUUGUUGAAAUGAAAAGAAAAAUCAUUUUUUUGUCUUAUAAUAUAAAAGGAAAAAUAGUUUGUUUUGCUAUGAAAAACGAAAAAAAAACAGAGUGUUUGUUUUAAUCAUGUUUUCGAAAAUGAAAUAAAAGAGAAAAAAUAGUUUGUUUUAAAAUAGUUCGGUUAAUUUGCCCGAACUACGCAUGUUUUGAUUCUCACAGGGCAUGAGAUACGUAGGCGACCUUCAUCGGGUCCAACCCUCCGUUUAUAAAAAUAUCCCAAAAAUGUCAAAAUUUUAAUUUUUGCCACAAAUAAGUCAAGUAAGGCCGCUUUGUCAAAAAUAGCCAAAUGUUCCUAGAUGGGACGCCGGAAGGCUGAAUUUGCGUAAACGGCCUUCUUGAUAAAAUGUGAAUUUUGAUUGGUUGAAUACACAACCUUUAAAUCUUCGUUUCAGAAGUGCUGAAAGGUCGUGUUUGAAAAUAAAGUCUUUUAUUUUCAAAUUUGAAAACACGCAAAAUAGCAUAUAAACAUGUUUUAUCUCUUUUGAGUCAAAUAAAAUUUUUUCUUUUGCCUAAUCACCUUUAUAAAUGUGCAGGAUGAGCACAAAUCAAAUGAAAUCGUUCUUAGUUUUUAGCGAGGUCCCUCUACAGCUCCACAUGUGGUGGAAUGAUCUGGGAGAUGAUAGUAAAAGAUAGUGGAAAGAAUUUUGGGCAAUCUCGUCGAUCUGUUACUUAUCAAGCCAAAGAUGGAUGUCAUUGAAGCUUUAACACCGCUUUGGGAUCCAACCCGUAAUGUAUUCCUUUUUACAGACUUUGAGCUUACACUCACACUAGAGGAAAUUGCGGGUUAUGCAGGUUUGGACGGGAAAUUGAGGGGUCAAUAUUUGCUUUCACCUAGACCGGUGUCUCCGCAUAGGUUUUUGAAUUUGCUACACAUUAAUUGGAAAGUGCAAGAUGAAGAUCUGUCAAAAGGCUGCUGUACUCUCCAAUUCUUAUAUCAACGGUAUGGUACUCCUCGGGGUUUUGAAGAGCCAUAUCUCGGACUAACUCAUGAUAAGGACAGAAACAAAUGGGAGUCAAGACGUCCUUUAGCUUUCCUGACAGCCUUCAUGGGAAUCAUGGUUUCUCCACGCAAAAAUAAGAAAAUUGAUAUAGGCCUUGUAGGGAUGGCCGACGUUGCAAUCAAAAGGCCUAACAACACUGUGGUCCCUUUUGUAUUAUCUGAAAUAUACCGAGCCUUAACUGUGUGUCGAGAGGGUGGUGAUUUUUUCCAGGAAUGUAAUAUAUUACUUCAGCUAUGGAUACAGGAACAUCUCUGUCAUCGAGUGGGAUACAUGAACCACGGGCUAACUGGAAGGAACUGCAUCAGUGGCUUUUAGAAACGGGUAGCAGGCGUUGAAUUCCCUGGAGGUGUCGAGGCUUGGUUCGCACGAUUGAGGUCAUUAACAACUAAUCAAGUUGAAUGGGCAUUUGGGUGGUUGCCGGAUACCGAGGUAAUACACAUGGCGGCCGAAGAAUGUCAUCUUCUUUUGAUGGAGGUUCGCACCAUCCAGCCCUACGCUCCUCAUCGAGUAUUACGCUAGCUAGGAAGGUUCCAAACAAUCCCCACUGACGUGGGUUUGAGCAAGCAUGCCAUUGAGUUAAGUCCAGGGGCCUCAUUUCCCGAAAAGGUAGUUCAAAAGCUAUGGAAUGAGUGUAGAUUUCUUGAGUCAAAAACCAUGGUUCAAGAACGAGCUAAAGGAGAAGUAGAUCCGAAGUACGAGCUAAAGGAGAACGAGAUAGGGUCAAAGCCAUUUCUCAUGCCAUUGUGAGAAGAUGCUGGGCGUGUGAACAUAUGACUGUUACUACCUUUGUCCUAGCUGUAGUGGUCUUUGUUAAACGAACUUUGCUUGAAUUAGAGCAUCUUGAACACGAUUUGGAACCCAGGUCCGCGUCGAGGCCGAAUGACGACCCGCAGACACCUAAGUUUGAGUCAUUAGAGUAUGCGUAGGUUGUGUCUGUAUCUUUUUUUUAUUGAGUCCGUUUGUCAGUUGUUUUUCAUGUCAAGAUGAGUCUGUAGUUUGAAGUUGGUACUUGGUCUUAGUUUGUGUCUGUCAUUUCUUUCGCAAAAUGUUUAGUUUGUAAUAGCUUGUGUUUGCAAUUAAAAUUUGAAAAUCCCAAAAAUAUUUUCUUUUUAUUUUUGCAUUUAUUUUCACGAACUACGCUUGGUCUAAUUCAUGUGGGGUCACAAUACGUAGGCCAUCUUCAUAGGAUUCGACCAUAGCCUUAAAUAAAAGAGAAAAAAAGAGAAAAGAAUUGGAGGUAAAAGAAGGGAAAGAAAGAUAAAUGGAAAACAAAGGCGAGAAUAAAAGAAAAAAAGAAAGAAAAGAAGAGCGGGAAAACCAGGGUAAAAAUAAGAGCGGAAAAGAGCAAGAGUGGAAAAACAAAGGUGAGACUAAGAAAGGGAAAGAAAAGAGCAGAAUAGAGUAAGAAAAUGAAAAGGAAUGCCAGGAUGAUACAUGUGGACGAACAAAUGCAUUAUAGAAAUGAUUAACUGUAUAGGUGCAUUCCUGCCAACGUGCAGUUAUCAAAUAUGUUAAAACUAAUCAUUAGCCAAGUGGUUUUUUAAAUGUGUGAGUCCAGGCAUGUGGUUAGUUGAUUAGCAAUUCUGGCAACUCACCAUUACAACACCCGGUCGAAGGACAAAAAAAUGACUGGACAUGACUCGGAUACUAGUAUAAUGGACCCUACGAAAGAGGUCGAGGUGAUAGAUGUGGGGGAUAUGAAAGAAGAAAUGAAGAAGUUUAAAGCCCAAAUGAAGGCCAUGCACCGGGCUUGGUCUCAGGGGCACCCAGCACCAUUAUACCAUGCUAACCCCUCUUAUAUCCCGCACCUAGCGCAGGCUCAGGAAUCUUCCACUCCCGAAACAUCUCCCACCCUUCCAGUAUAACACCCAAGGGUAUGCCACUACUUCAUAUGCUCCACCGGCUCCACCANNNNNNNNNNNNNNNNNNNNNNNNNNNCAAGGCGAGUCCAAAAGACAACUUUCCAUUGCCAAACAUCCACAUAUUGAUCGACAAUUGUGCCAAACAUGAGAUUGGUUCUUUUGUGGAUUGAUAUGUGGAUUUCAAACAAAAUCCUCCUCUGCCAGUGGCCCACUCCUCCAGUUCCAUUGCAAAGGUCCUCUAGUGAACCACUAUUCCAAGCCCAUGACGCCCAAUAUUACCCGCCUGAGCCCACCUUUAAGGCUCCUGACCGUGCUCAUAUACCCCUCACUUUGAGAUCCCAGAAGAAGUCCAAAAACCAGUUAAAAAUUCAGAGCAUGAGCAAGUGAUCAGAAAAUUCAAAAGCCUGGAGCAAUCCUUCAGGAACCUUUGAGAUCCUAGAAGAAGUCCAGAAACCAGUUAAGAAAACAGAGCAUGAGGAAGUGAUCAGAAGAUUCAAAAUCCUGGAGCAAUCCUUCAGGAACAUGCACGGAUUGGGCAGUCAGGUCAGUGUUGCCUAUAAGGAUUUAUGCCCUUUUCCGGAUGUCCAGUUGCCCACGGGAUUCAAGAUUCUUAAAUUUGACCUGUACGAGGGACAAUGUGACCCGGUACCUUACCUCCGAGGAUUCUGAAGUAAGAUGAAGAGGUGCUGGGGGAAAAUUGAAUUACUGAUAGCCUACUUUGGUCAGCCUGAGCGGGUAUGCAUUGGAAUGGUACACCAGACAGGACCCUAGUCGAUGGUACACCUGGAAUGAUCUGGCACAAGCGUUCAUUGUCCAUUUCCAAUAAUACCUCGAGAUAGUCCCUGAUCGUCUAUCAUUGUUGAAUUUUGAGAAGAAGCCGGGAGAAAGCUUUAGAGAAUUUGUGUUCAGAUCGAGAGAGCAAGCUGGCAGAGUGGAUCUCUCAAUGAGAGAAAAUGAGAUGGUAGAUUAUUUUUUGCAAACGUUGGAGCCGACAUGCUUCGGUCACCUAGUGGAUUUCUGUGGGUAAAUCAUUCAAUGAGGUAGUGAAGAUGGGCGCCAUGAUUGAAGAGGGUUUAAAGUCCAACAAAAUGUUGAGUUAUUCAGCACUGAAAGCAACAACGCAGGCUAUACAAAGCGGCACUGGGGUGUGCUAGGUAAGAAGAAGAACGAAAAAAUGGCCACCUUGAGUUAUUCAACACUGAAAGCAACCACGCAGGCUAUACAAAGCGGCACUGGUGGUGUGCUAGGUAAGAAGAAGAAGGAAGAAGUGGCCAUAGUGGAAGCUAGCACCUAGUCGAGGCCCAGCAAUCCCCCACCCUACUAUAGCCAACCAAGACCCCACCACCCAAACUAUCCAUAUACUCCAUAUGGCCCACAACAACACUACUACCCUCCACCAGAACCACACUUCUCUGUCCACCAUGCCCAAACAUAUACGCAGCCUCCGGCACAUCCACAAUGGCGUGCGCUGGCUUCCCAAAACACAUAUACACCCCCACAAAACACCCAUCCACACCCCAGGGCUAACAAACCAGGACUCGGCUUCUGCCCGAACUAAAAUGUUCGAAAUAAGAGGGCCCCAAACAAAAGAACUUUUACCCUAUUGGGAGAAUCUUACACCGCUUUAUUCCAUAGACUGAAGCAGUUGGGAAUGUUAACCCUAAUCGAGCCCAAAGUACCAAACCCACCUCCCAGAAACCUGGACCAGUCCGUCAGCUGUGAGUAUUGCUCAGGAAUGCAUGGGCAUGAGACUGAAAAAUGUUGGAAGUUGAAGAAUGCAAUAAAAGAUCUCAUUGACAACUGCCGUAUUGAAGUGCAGGCUCGGAGGCGCCAAAAAUCAAUCUGAACCCACUAGGAAUGCCUGGGCAUGAGACUGAAAAAUGUUGGAAGUUGAAGAAUGCAGUACAUGAGCUCAUUGGCAGCCGCCAUAUUAAAUGCAGGCCGCAGAGGCGCCAAACAUUAAUCAGAACCCACUGCCAGCACAUCACGAUACCAACAUGAUUGAGUUGGUGCACAAGGAUGGGGAGGUGAAGAAACCCUCAAAAACCAUAGUGAUGAUUCGUGCUGUUGAGACCAGUUCAAAUGAGAAGCCGACCGAGGAACAGGCAGGGGUGAAGUUGAAAGAUACAAGUGACAAGCCAGUGAUGGGGAAAGAAUUAUCUGUUAUUGCAAAGAAACCAGAACUAAUUAAGUUGGUGUACCAGGACGUCACCCGCGCCCGUGGUUGUUGUGAAGGGUGCUUACAUAGAGCCAGUGAUCAUCAACCCAGUAGUCCAGCUACCCAUGGUUGACAGCAAAGCUGUGCCUUGGAAAUAUGAGAAGGUGAUAGUAACGUGCAAAGGAAAAGCGAUCUAGGGGGAGAGCUGUGAGGCGCAAGGGUUGACUCGAUCAGGGCAUUGCUUCGCUCCUGAGGAGUUGAGAAAGGCUAGGGCUACUAAAGACAGUCCAGCGUUGGUGAAAAAGGCUGUUGCAGAGGAGGAAGCAAAGGAGUUUCUAAAAAAGAUGAAGGUACAAGACUAUUCUAUUGUCGAGCAGCUGAGGAAAACACCGGCCUAGAUUUUGAUAUUGUCAUUGUUGAUACACUUUAUUGAACAUCGCCGAGCUUUGAUGAAAAUAUUAAAUAAAGCCCAUGUACCUGAUAAGAUUUCAGUGACCUACUUGGAGACAAUUGCUAGUAGGAUCUUUGAGGUAAACAGGAAAACGUUUUCGGAUGAUAAGUUGCCCGUGGAAGGAACAAAGCAUAAUAAAGCCCUUUACUUGACAGUCAAAUGUGAAGAUUCAGUGGUGACCAGAGCAUUGGUAGAUAAUUGGUCUAGUGCAAAUAUUUGCCCGAUAUCGACAUUGAACAAGCUAAAGAUCGAUAAUGACAGAAUACGCAGAAAUAGUGUGUGUGUCCAAGGUUUUGACGGGGGCAGAACAGACACGGUGGGGGACAUUAUCCUCGAGAUAACCAUUGGCCCACUUGAGUUUACCAUUGAGUUUCAAGUGUUGGACGAUGCGGUAUCAUACAAUCUAUUAUUGGGACGAAUAUGGAUCCAUGCGGCCAAAGCAGUGCCUUCCUCGCUGCAUCAAAUGGUCAAAUUUUAAUGGGACCGGCAAGAGGUGGUGCUACAUGGAGAAGACCCCACAAGUGUUGCGGGUGGUGAUAUUGUGCGUUUUGUAGAAACUGAUGACGAUAAAGGGCCAUGGGUCUAUCAGGUUUUUGACAUGAUCACUGUGAACAAAGUACCAGAGGGUAAAAGCAUCCCACGUCCUUGAGUAGCAACUGCAACCGUCAUGGUGGUUUAAGAAAUGAUGGGUAAUGGGUUUGUCCCGGGAAAAGGUCUGGGUGCCAAGCUUCAGGGCAUUGUUUAACCCGUGUCCUUGCCCAAGAAUUUAGAUACUUUCGGGCUGGGAUUCAAGCCAACAACAAUAGAUAUCAGAAGGGUCCGCAAGUUGAAAAAGAAAGCUUGGGUUCUCCCAAAACCAAUUCCACGUCUGUCCAAAUCCUUUGUCAGGUCGAGGGCUGAAAAUCAGUUAGCAACGUAGGUGACAGGUUCAUUAAUUGAAGAGAGGGGAAUCUGGAUGAAGGGUUUGAGAGGGUAUUUGCCGAAGUAAACAUGGUUCGUGCCGGUGAAGGUUCCAGUAAUGCAGACAUUCAGUACGUUGGGCCACAUGCUAGGAUCAAUAAUUGGGAAGCCACUCCUCUGCCAGUUCGGAGGGAGGCGGGGUAGUGGGAAUUUGUUUUUCCUUUUGUUUUCACGUGGAUUAUUCCUGGAUUUGUAAUUCUUGUGACUAUGUUCCGUCGAUUUGGAUGAGCUAAGCCUUGUUAUCUUUACGUUUUAAUGAAAUGCAAUUUCCUUCUUAUUUCCUAAUUUUUUUUCCAUUUUUCUUUUCUUUUCUGUACAGUUCUUUUUAUGCUGAUAUCAAUGACAUGACAUGCAUGAGGACUUGUUGGCGCGGUCUUAUAAGCCAACCUAACUCGGAAAUAAUAAUACAAUAAAUUGAAUGUGAUGAUGAAGAGGAAUAUGAUGAUGAUGAAGCCUAUGAGGAAAUUAGUAAGGAAUUAAAACAUUUUGAAGAAAAACCAAAACCGAACUUAAAUGACACAGAAGUAGUUAACCUAGGGACCAAGAUAAUGUCCAUGAAACUAAAAUAACACUUUGAGGAAGAACCCAAACCGAACUUAAAUGAUAUAGAAGCGUUUAAUUUUGUGGUCCAAGAUAAUGUCCAAGAAACUAAAAUAAUUGUUCAUCUAGAGCUGCAACUCAAGGAAGAAAUACUCGAGGCAUUAUUGGAAUAUAAAGACUCUUUUGCUUGGUCCUAUGAUGAUAUGCCAGGGGUGUGUACUGAUUCAGUGGCUCACAAGCUGCCUACUGAUCCAUCACUCCCACCUAUUAAGCAGAAACUGAGGAAGUUCAAAACAGACAUAAGUGUGAAGAUUAAAGAAGAGAUCACUAAGCAGUUUGAUGCAAAGGUUAUUCGGGUUACCUGGUAUCCCACCUGGUUAGCUAAUAUUGUGCCUGUACCAAAGAAAGAUGGUAAAACCAGGGUGUGCGUGGAUUAUCGAGAUCUCAACAAGGCGAGUCCAAAAGACAACUUUCCAUUGCCAAACAUCCACAUAUUGAUCGACAAUUGUGCCAAACAUGAGAUUGGUUCUUUUGUGGAUUGAUAUGUGGAUUACCAUCAUAUCUUAAUGGACGAGGAGGAUGCAUAGAAGACGACAUCCAUCAUGCCGUAGGGAACAUACUUCUAUUGGGUCAUGCCAUUUGGUUUGAAAAAUGUCGGGGCAACUUACAUGAGGGCCAUGAAAUCGAUCUUCCAUGAUAUGAUACAUAAAGAGAUUGAAGUGUACGUAGAUGAUAUGAUUGUGAAAUCAAGGAAGCAUUCUGAUCAUGUCAGGGAUUUGAGGAAAUUCUUUCAAAGGCUACGCAGGUGCAAUCUAAAGCUCAAUCCUCCAAAGUGCGCUUUCGGGGUGCCAUCUGGAAAGUUUCUACGGUUUGUAGUCAGUCGCUGGGGUAUUGAAUUGGAUCCAUCGAAGAUUAAGGCCAUUCAGGAAUUGCCUCCUCCGAAAAACUAAACCGAUGUGAUGAGUUUGUUGGGAAGAUUAAACUACAUUAUCAAGUUCAUUGCUCAGCUUACAACUACUUGUGAAGCCAUUUUCAAAUUGCUAAAUAAAGAUGCCGUGGUUAGAUGGACGGAUGAAUGUCAGAAAGCUUUUGAUAAGAUUAAGGAAUAUUUGUCAAACCCGCCCGUGUUGGUUUCGCCAGAACUAGGGAGGCCUUUGAUUCUGUAUAUGACAUUCUUGGAUAAUUCAUUUUGCUGCGUACUGGGGCAGCAUGACAUCACAGGAAGGAAGGAGCAGGCGAUCUACUAUCUCAGCAAGAAUUUUACAUCUUACGAGGUUAAGUAUUCUCAUCUUGAGAGGACGUGUUGCGCCCUAACUUGGGUGGCACAGAAGUUGAAACAUUAUUUGUCGUCCUACACUACAUACAUCAUAUCUUGGUUAGAUCCACCGAAGUAUAUUUUCCAGAAGCCUAUGCCCACGGGAAGGCUCACAAAGUGGUAGAUCUUGCUUACAGAGUUUGAUAUUAUCUAUGUGAACCGGACUGCAAUGAAAGCCCAGGCUUUAGCUGAUCACUUGGCUGAGAAUCCGGUUGAUGAUGAUUAUGAGCCUUUGAAAAAUUAUUUCUCCGAUGAAGAGGUAAUGCAUAUAGAUGAGUUGGAAUAGAUAGAGAAACCAGGAUGGAAAUUGUUCUUUGAUGGAGCGGCAAAUAUGAAAGGGGUGGGAAUAGGAGCUGUAAUUAUUUUCAAAAUAGGUCAGGACUAUCCUGUUACGGCUCAGCUACGUUUUUAUUGUACGAAAAACAUGACGGAAUAUGAAGCAUGCAUUUUGGGCUUGAGAUUGGCUAUGGAUAUGGGUGUCCGGGAAAUCUUGGUCAUGGGUGACUCGAACUUACUGGUACAACAAAUUCAGGGAGACUGGAAACCACGAGAUAUUAAAUUAAUACCUUCCGGACAGUGCCUGCAUGAGCUUUGUCAAUGGUUUCAGUCCAUGCAUUGUCAAUGGUUUCAGUCAAUAGAAUUCAGACACAUCCCAAGGAUUCAUAAUGAGGUUGCCGACGCUUUGUCUACUUUGGCGUCAUGUUGCAUCAUCCAGACAAGACUUACGUAGAUCCAUUGCAGAUUCAGGUGUAUGAUCAAAAUACUUAUUGUAAUGUGGUAGAAGAGGAACUUGACGAUGAGCCGUGGUUUCAUGACAUCAUGGAAUACAUCAGGAUGGGAAUAUAUCCAGCACAUGCCACAAGUGAUAAAAAAAGGACUAUUCAUCGAUUGGCAAGCAGAUUUCCUGAGUGGCGGAGUAUUGUACAAAAGAAUGCUAGAUCUCGGAUUAUUGAGGUGCAUGGAUGUGAGGCAAGCCACAACUAUCAUGACUGAGGUACAUUCUGGAGUCUGUGGACCGCACAUGAGCGGAUAUGUUUUUGCAAAAAAGAUUUUGCGGGAAGGGUAUUAUUGGCUUACAAUGGAGCGGGAUUGUAUUAGUUUUGUACGAAAAUGUGAUCAGUUCCAAGUGCAUGGAGAUGGGUAUUAUUGGCUUACAAUGGAGCAGGAUUGUAUCAGCUUUGUACGCAAAUGUCAUCAAUGCCAAGUGCAUGGAGAUUUGAUUCAUUUUCCACCGUCAGAAUUGCAUACGAUGUCAGUUCCAAUGCCUUUUGUUGCUGGGGGCAUGGACGUUAUUGGGCCGAUCGAUCCGGCAGCAUCAAAUGGGCACAAGUUUAUCCUGGUUGCAAUAGAUUAUUUUACCAAGUGGGUGGAAGCGAAGACGUUCAAGUCUGUGACUAAGAAAACUGUGGUGGAUUUUGUGCAUGCGAACAUUAUUUGUCGGUUUGGUAUACCAAAGGUGAUUAUCACGGACAAUGGGGCUAAUCUCAGCAUUCAGUUGAUGAAGGAAACGUGUGAGCAGUUCAAGGUUACUCAUCGUCAUUCCACUCUGUACCUCCCUAAGGCAAAUGGUGCGGUUGAAGCAGCAAACAAGAACAUAAAGAAAAUAUUGCGGAAAUUGGUUGAAGGGUCUAGACAGUGGCAUGAGAAGUUGCCUUUCACAUUGUUGGGAUAUCGCACCACCGUUUGUACUUUGGUGGGGGAAACUCCUUAUUCAUUGGUAUAUGGCACCGAGGCAGUAAUACCCACCGAAGUGGAGAUCCCGUCACUUCGAAUAAUUGCGCAAGCUGAAAUCGACGAUGAUGAAUGGGUAAAGACCCGUCUGGAACAAUUGAGCUUGAUCGAUGAGAAAAGGUUAUCAUCAGUGUGCUAUGGGCAAUUGUACCAACGAAGGAUGGCAAGAGCGUACAAUAAGAAAGUACGUUCGAGGAAAUUCGAAGACGGACAGUUAGUUUUGAGGCGGAUUUUGCCUCAUUGGGCUGAAGCAAAAGGAAAAUUCGCCCCGAACUGGCAGGGGCCAUUUGUAGUAACCAGGGUGUUGUCUAAUGGUGCAUUGUAUUUGACAAAUGCAGAAGGGAAAUGCGUAGAAAUUACCAUCAAUUAUGAUGUUGUCAAGAGAUAUUAUAUAUGAUUUCUUUAUUGUGAAUGUACUUGCUUGUAUUUGGCAUACUUCAAAGAUUGAAAUGAAGAAGGCAUUUUGUGCUGCUAUCCAUAUUAAUUCUGAUGCGGUCAAGAGAUAUUACGUAUGAUUUCUUUAUUCUGAAUCUACUCGCUUGUGUUUGGCAUAUUUUAAAGAUUGAAAUGAAGAAGGCAUUUUGUUCUUCUAUCCAAACACUUUUAUCCUUUGUUACCCCGUUGAGCCUUAAUUAUUUUCGUUCAUACCCCUCUUUCGGAAUAAGCGGCACAAUCAAGAAACGCAGGUGCCGAGCAUAAAGCAAAGAAAAAAAGAAAAUAAAAAUAGAGAAAAAGAAAGGAAAUGAAGAAAAAAAGAAAAAAAAAGAAAAGAAAGGAAAAGAAAAGAAAAAGAAAAGAAAAGAAAUAAACAAAAUGAAAAGAAAAGAAAAGAAAAGAAAAGAAAAGAAAAUGAGAAUAGAAGAAAAGAAAAAUCACAACAAAGGUAAUCAUGAUAAAGUGAACUACGUUUGACUUGAUCCCGAAAAGGUACGUAGGCAGCCUUACUCCAAGGUUCAGUCAUACCAAAAUAAAACUCCAAAAGUCCACAAGCAAAAACUAUGGCAGAAGUUGUGGUUCGUUUUGAGAAAUUGGAUCCUGAAAGUUGUAAUGAUAACCCAUUUUGAAAUUGUUUUGAGCCUUUUAUAUCAUUCUCUCUAACCCAUCCAAAAGCCUACAUUACGGUCCAAAGAAAGACCAUCUGAUCAAUUUUUGAGAAAAUGCCAUGUCGAGCAGGGAAAUGUGAUUCGCAAUAGGGGCAACCCUUUGGUCCAAGCCAGAAAGUAGAAAAUGAAAUGAGAGAGUCUUAGUGGUGAAAACCUUCAUGGGAACCCUAGGGUGAAAGGGAGUUUGAGAAGCGGCAAACUGAGAAAGGUCCGUUGGUGAAAUACUGUUCGCUGCAUCGUAGGAUAAAUGAGGUUAAGGUUAGGGUAAAGUAAUCAAGUGAUGGAAGUUCUGGGAAAUGAAGUAUGACAAUUGAAGAGCUGUUUAGUUGGAUCGGUUGGGCCGAUUAAUCCGAAAUGCAUGUCGUGAUCACUAGUGCCAGCUGUUCCAGUCAGAUAAGUUUCUUUACUUUUCCUUUUCAACAAUCAUCUGGUUUUGGAUUCGUUUAUCCUUAACUCAUAAAAUUAUUUCAUUUCAUUCUCUGUCGGGGGUUUCAGUUUGUAAAAAAUGUUUCAAUGUCAGUUUUUUUAAAUGAAAGGGGAAAGGAUUUUAAAGCCCACUACCAACUUCCGAAAAUUGUAAAGCGUAAUGUGGCUAGAGCAUGUCAGCAACAAUGUGAUGCAAAGUGAAAUAAGGGAAGUCGCCAGAAGUUCCAUUGACAGAAUAUUUGGGAAGUGUUAUGGGAAAUGUGAAGGUUCAGGCAAAAGAGUCGGAAAGGUGAAACAAUAGUGGGAGUACAAAAGCAUUCAGGUUGUCAGAAAUUGGGAAAUGUGAAAGUCGGUCAGAAAGUCAGACAGUUCAGAGGAAGUUAGGCAACACAAAGCAAGGCAAUAGAAGGAUGAUGCACCAAAAGUGGCAUCAACUAACCACCAUUUUUAAUCUAACAAAAUUUUCUGGUGAUUGAAACAGGGGCAGAAAACUGUUUGGAAGGAGGAAUUCUCCGUGAAAGAAAAGCGGGCAGUAAUCAAGUUUGAUCGCAAGUGUGGCUAGAGGAAAAUUCAAGAAAACAAGGAGCGACUUGAAGAGAUGUUGAGGUCAGGAGCCCGCUUGAAAAACAGAGGAGUGCAUUUCGGUCUUUAAAUUUUAAAGUUACACUUUGGUCCUAUCGUUCAAGUUUUGGUUUCAAUCCUCAUUAGUAUGUGGUAAGAAGCCCCAGUUUCACCAAACUGGGGCAGAAAGUUCUCUUUGUUUUAUUUAUUUUUGUGAAAUCAGGAGUCCGCUUGGAGAACAGAGACAUACAAUUAAAAAUUUAGAAGUCAGGAGCCCGCCUGAAGAACAGAGGCAUGCAAUCCAAAUUUUAGCAAUCAGGAGCCCUCCUGAAGAACAUAGGUGAUACAAUUCAAGUUAAUAGUUUUAAAUCAAUUCCUUCGUUUAUUUUGGUAGUCAGGAGUUCGCCUGGAGAACAGAGACACAUGCUUCAAGUCAGAAGUCAGGAGUCCGCUUGAAGAAUAGAGACAUGCAUUUAGAAUUUUGGGAAGUCAGGAGUCUGCCUGCAGAACAGAGACAUAUGCUUCAAGUUAGCAGUCAGGAGUCCUUCUGAAGAAUAGAGACAUACAAUGCAAGUUUGGAGUCAGGAGCCUGCCUGAAAAAUAGAGGUGAUAUAAUUCCAAUUUUAGUUUUCAAUCAAUUUUCUUGUUUAUUUUGAAGUCAGGAGUCCGCCUGGAGAACAGAGACAUACAAUUCUAAUUUCAUAAGUCAGGAGUCCGCCUGUAGAAUAGAGACAUGCAUUUAGAAUUCUGGAAGUCAGGAGUCCAUUUGGAGAAUAUUGACAUGCAAUUGGAAUUUUGGAAGUCAAGAGAAAAGAGACAUACAGUGCAAAUUUUAGAAGUCAGGACCCCGCCAGGAUAAUAGAGGAAUACAUUCUAUUUCAAGUUCAGUAGUUAGGAGUCCGCCUGGAGAAUAGAGACAUACAAUUCAAAUUUUAGCAGUCAGGAGCCUGCCUGGAGAAUGGAGGUGUUAAAUUUUAUGUUGAUGUUGAAGUCAGGAGCCCACCUGAGAACAAAGGUAUAUGAUUCAAGCUUCGAAAUCAGGAGCCCGCCUGUAUAACAGAGGUAUUUCAAGUUAAGUUUUAGUCAAAAUUCUUAUUUAUAUAUGGUAACAAGCACCCACUUUUCCAAACUGGGGCAGAAAGUUUUCUUUGUUUUGUCUAUUUUCAUGUAGUCAGGAGCCCUCCUGGAUAAUAGAGGAACACAGUCAGGUUCAAGUGCAGCAAUCAGGAGCCCGCCUGGACAACAGAGGAAUACAGUCAAGUUCAAGUUUAUUCAAGUUCAGCAAUUUGCAGGGAAGGAACAACACCUCUGUUCAUGAUUUGAAGUAAAACCAAGGAAUUUCACCAAGGGAACACACGACAACAAGGAAGUGCAAGAGCAAGUUUGAAGAUUUAGAUAGGACUUUUUGUAAUUCAUAGUUCAUAGCAUAAGCUAGCUUCUUUUAUUUUCGACAUGGUGUAAUAAGGAAGGUCAGCGAGCAGCAGCAGCAGCAGCAAGCGCAGUGAAAUCACAGCUCCUGGUAGUCCAAGCUACCAGACACUCCCGAACUACACUGACCAGAUUCCUGUUUAGCCCAGGAUAUGUAGGCAUUAUUUGAAGCAGGGUGCGGUCAAAACUUUUCAAUAUGCUUCACAACUGAAUAUUUGAACAGGCAAAAAUCGCUCGUAUUUGAUCACUUAUCUUUGCCCGAAAACAUUUCAUGUUUCCGAGCAAAGAGGGCCAGCUGUGAGCACAUGAUUUUUGCCCUAUAUAUGAAUUAUUCCCACAAAAUUCAAACAAAAGAUUUUUCUUUAUUUUUACAAUUUUUUGUGAAUUUUGGUGUCAUUUUGUGUUAAGUGUUUGCAUUUUAUUUGUGCAUGUUAAUUCAUAUGAAAUACAAAAUACGCAUUUGCAUUUAGGCUUUAAUAUUUUAGGAUUAGUUAGGUGUUAAUUUGUUUUGGCUCAAAAUAUGAAAAUUUAUGCAAAAUUAGUUCAUUUUGCAUUUUAGUUGUUAAUUGUUUAGUUUGUCGCGAAAUAGAUUUUAACAUAAUUUUAGGAAUUAAAUUAGUUUAAUUUUUGAAAUAAUUAGAUCUUUAUCUUUAUUUUUGUAUUGUGUAUAAAAAUCAGAAAAUAUGAAAAGAAUAUAAAAUGAAAAAAAAACACCAAAGGAAAUGAAGGGAAAACUAAUAGAAAAGAGAGAAAAGACGAGGGUCUUCUUAAAUUGGGCAAUUUUUAUUGCCAGCCCAAGUCUUCCCCCCCAAAACUACACCUGAACCGGCCCAAACAAAUUCCCAAACCAGUCCGAUUAUUAAUCAGCCAAACGAUGCCGUUUUCCAUAUGCAAUCCUAGCCCUCAAUUCUCGAUCUAACGGUCGAGAUUGUCCUAGGUUUCCCAUAUAAAGCUGUCCGAACAAACGCCCCCCACCCCUAUUUCCAGUCAUCUUCUCAAACAACGAACCCUAAUCCCUCCGCCACCAAAUCCCACCGCCCUAGGGUGGCGGCGCCACCUCUAAUCACCACCAAUAUUACACCCUUCGUCUUCCUCACUCUCCUCUUCUCAUCUAUGGCAAGGAUUUCUUUCGAAUCAAACCCUAGCUGUUCGAAU